Molecule: ribosomal RNA, 497 nt
Filed under: uncultured bacterium
Lineage: Bacteria
Description: partial 16S ribosomal RNA
Rfam family: Bacterial small subunit ribosomal RNA
Source: RNAcentral
GAUGAACGCUGGCGGCGUUCCUAAUACAUGCAAGUCGAGCGAACAGAUGAGGAGCUUGCUCCUCUGACGUUAGCGGCGGACGGGUGAGUAACACGUGGAUAACCUACCUAUAAGACUGGGAUAACUUCGGGAAACCGGAGCUAAUACCGGAUAAUAUAUUGAUCCGCAUGGUUCAAUAGUGAAAGACGGUUUUGCUGUCACUUAUAGAUGGAUCCGCGCUGCAUUAGCUAGUUGGUAAGGUAACGGCUUACCAAGGCAACGAUGCGUAGCCGACCUGAGAGGGUGAUCGGCCACACUGGAACUGAGACACGGUCCAGACUCCUACGGGAGGCAGCAGUAGGGAAUCUUCCGCAAUGGGCGAAAGCCUGACGGAGCAACGCCGCGUGAGUGAUGAAGGUCUUCGGAUCGUAAAACUCUGUUAUUAGGGAAGAACAAAUGUGUAAGUAACUAUGCACGUCUUGACGGUACCUAAUCAGAAAGCCACGGCUAACUACGUG